UACGGAGGGAGCUAGCGUUGUUCGGAAUUACUGGGCGUAAAGCGCACGUAGGCGGCUAUUCAAGUCGGGGGUGAAAGCCCGGGGCUCAACCCCGGAACUCCCCUCGAAACUAGCUAGCUAGAAUCUUGGAGAGGUCAGUGGAAUUCCGAGUGUAGAGGUGAAAUUCGUAGAUAUUCGGAAGAACACCAGUGGCGAAGGCGACUGACUGGACAAGUAUUGACGCUGAGGUGCGAAAGCGUGGGGAGCAAACAGG
RNAcentral lists this ribosomal RNA (253 nucleotides) under uncultured bacterium. RNAcentral's name for it is "partial 16S ribosomal RNA". It matches the Rfam family "Bacterial small subunit ribosomal RNA", at positions 524 to 776 of the family's 1533-position model. The record is from RNAcentral.